AACGAACGCUGGCGGCAUGCCUAACACAUGCAAGUCGAACGAGACCUUCGGGUUUAGUGGCGCACGGGUGCGUAACGCGUGGGAAUCUGCCCUGGGGUUCGGAAUAACAGUUGGAAACGACUGCUAAUACCGGAGGUUGUCGUAAGUCCAAAGAUUUAUCGCCCAAGGAUGAGCCCGCGUAGGCUUAGCUAGUUAGUAUGGUAAAUGCGCAUCAAGGCGAGGAUCCUUAGCUGGUUUGAGAGGAUGAUCAGCCACACUGGGACUGAGACACGGCCCGGACUAUUGCGGGAGGCAGCAGUGGGGAAUAUUGGAAAGUGGGCGAAGGCAUGAUCCAGCAAUGACGCGUGAGUGAUGAAGGCCUUAGGGUUGUAAAGCUCUUUUACCCGGGAUGAUAAUGACAGUACCGGGAGAAUAAGCACCGGCUAACUCCGUG
This 433-nucleotide ribosomal RNA is filed under the name uncultured bacterium. RNAcentral's name for it is "partial 16S ribosomal RNA". It matches the Rfam family "Bacterial small subunit ribosomal RNA", at positions 29 to 507 of the family's 1533-position model. The record is from RNAcentral.